Molecule: long non-coding RNA, 5503 nt
Filed under: Sus scrofa (pig)
Lineage: Eukaryota; Metazoa; Chordata; Mammalia; Artiodactyla; Suidae
Description: lncRNA (ENSSSCG00045019312.1)
Source: RNAcentral
GGCUGCACCUGUGGCAUAUGGAGGUUCCCACGCUAGGGGUCAAAUUGGAGCUGUAGCUGCUGGCCUACACCAGAGCUACAGCCACACAGGAUCCAAGCCUCGUCUGCGACCCACACCCCAGCUCAUGGCAACGCCGGAUCCUUAACCCACUGAGCGAGGCCAGGGAUCAAACCCUCAUCCUCAUGGAUACCAGUCAGGUUUGUAACCUGCUGAGCCACGGUGGGAACUCCGUGUUUGUGUUUUACUUAAAGAUCCCUCGGCGGAUGGGGGGACAGGCCAGGCGGCCCUGCGGUGGCCAGGAGAGCAGGGGUAGGGCUGGAGGAGCCAGCGGCCGGGGCCGCGAUGGAGGCAGAGCUGCGGGACUUGCUGAGGGGACCCCAGGACAGCAGCCAGCUUUCUGGCUGAGGAUGGCGAGGCCACCCAUGAGACGAGAACUCGGGUGGAGGCCAGGCCGUGAGCGCUCCAGAAGCAACUGUUGAGGGGCAGCGUGAGCUCCCCAGCCUGGAGCUCGGUGGGGGGUUGAGGGCCGGGGCCCAUGAGGGGUGUCAUUGGCAUCGGGGUAGGAAGGGAUGGCCGGGGGCUGGGGAGCGGAGAAGGAGCCAGCGGGGAGCCCAGGGCGGAGGAGCUGGAGCCAGGAGAGCAGAGCCGGGCCACCCAGGAGGCCUCGGAGAGUACAUUUCUAGGCAGAGGGAGGUGGGAAACGCUAGCUCGCAGUCAGGCUGGGCACUAAAACUGCCCACGGAGCUGGUGACACGGGCAGAGGUCACCGGUGAGCCCACAGAGCCUUCUGGGCGGGUGGGGGCUGGGCAGGGCGUGGGAGGGAGCAAGUGGAGUCAGCAGACGGGCCUUCUUCUAAGAAGAAGGCAGAAGCGGGGUGGGCGAUCGAGGGCUCUGAGCUCAGGGGACCACUUGCUCUUUGAGACCAGAGAGGCAGCCAGAGCAGAGGACCGGGACGGAACAGGGCGGGGGGCUGCAGCGGGGCUGUGAGCUGGGACUGCUGUGGCGCGUGGGAAGGCUCGGAGGCCGGGGACCCGCCCAGGAUCACAGAGCCAGUCCUGAGCCGGGCUGUCACCCAGCAAGCCAUCUACAAAGGAUCUGGAGCUGUGUGGGGGCUUUUCUGAGAACACAAGCAGAUUCUGCGCCUGCGAGGCUGGCGUGUCCUUAUUCAAAGGGAGCAUCUGGGGGGAGUUCCCAUCGUAGCUCAGUGGAAACGCAUCUGACUAGCCUCCAUGAGGACACGGGUUCGAUCCCCGGCCUCACUCAGUGGGUUAAGGAUCCGGCAUUGCCGUGAGCUGCGGUAUAGGUCACAGACAUGGCUCGGAUCCCGUGUGGCUGUGGCUGUGGUGUAGACUGGCGGCUACAGCUCUGAUUGGACCCCUAGCCUGGGAACCUCCAUAUGCCACAGGUACGGCCCUAAGGAGACUAAAUAGAUAAAUAAAAGGGAGCAUCUGUGUGUCCUGCCCCCCGAGGGCUCCUCACAGCACAGGACAUCCCCAUCCAUCCCCUGCCUCCUCCCUACCUCGCUGGACCCCCGAGUGUGUGGGGGAGAGACUCAGAGAUGAAGAUGGGUAGGGCUCUGUAUGGCCGCAGCCACUGCUCCACCCAGGUUCCUGGGGGUCCUGAGGCCUGUCGGGGGUGGGGUGGGGGUCCCUUGACAGCAGGGGGCAGGAAAUGGCUGCUCUGACUGUCCAUGGCCCCUGUCCCCAUGGGUCCUUCUGCUUGGAGGACACCCGGCCUCAGCUGCUUUAGCACUGGUCUUUUCCUAGGAAGCCCAUGUGUCCCCACCCAUUUCUUAUCUUUGAGAGAUGGGAGGGGGGCAGCCUGGGGUAGGGCCACCCUGGAAGAGCGGAGAGGAGCCAGCUGGAAGUUCAGAUGAAGGCAGGGCCCUGGGCAGGAUGCUCUGAUGCAGUCGUGCAGUGGGACCCUGGUGGGGUCCGGACCCCGGGUCGGCUGCCCCCGUGGAAUGAGCCCAUGAGCCCCGGUGCUCCUCACAGCCUCCUCAUUUACAGGAAAUGAAUUCUCCGCAAUGGGCAGCCUCUGUGCCCUCCGGCCCUCCGUGGACUGUCCACGGCUCGAGAGGAGAGAACUCAGAAACAGCACCCGGCAGCCAAACCCUUCCUGCUCCCCUGACCCCUGCACCCGUGUGGACACUCAGAGGACAAAGGAAAGAGCCCAAUGGCAAGGCAGGCACCAGCUCUCCGGGAAUCUGCUUCUUCUGGCCCCUAAAAUAAGAGGGCCUUUGAUCUGUCAGUUCCUCAUCUGCUGAAAUCAUCUGCACGGUGGCAAAGGCCCAGUGGCAUCUAUCACCUGUCACCGGCUCAGAAUGGGACGGUUCUACCUGCUCAGGGACGGGGGACCCAAGCUAAUCACGGCGCACCCGCACAUGGCAAUCCUGCCGCCCCAGGCGAGAACAAAGGGCUCUGGACGAUGCGGGAGGGCGCUCAGGACGUUGAGUGGAGGGCACGGACCCGAAUGAGAAGUUGUGCAGGCAGCGUGACCGCGCUCACCGCAAACCCGUCAGAAACAGGCCAGCAGGAACCAGUGACUGUCUCUCAGGAGCCCAGAGGUGGUGAUUAAGCAUUAAAGAAUUCGGUAUUUUUCAAGUUUUCCCUACGAGGCAGGUAAUACCUUUACGAUCAGAAAAAUAACAGAUAUCAAAUUUCAAACAAAGGAGGCCAGGCUUUGCGGGAAACUCCUCUUACUCACCCGGGUUUGAUGUCCAGAGGUGUGGGGAGGGACCUGAGGAAGCCCGCCUUUCCCACCAGCCAGUAGGUCUCCUCGAAGCCCUUCCCCUGGAAGAGAGAGGAGAGGGGCUGAGCAAACCGUCUCAAGUGGAGAGCAAGGCCGGAGGCGUGAGAUUCCCACAGCUGGCAGGAGAGCAGCCUAGAACCUGGAGUCAGACGGUCUGGGUGCGGCCCUAGAAAGACAAAAGACCAAAAAUAAAUAAAUAAAUAAAUAAAUGAAAGAGAAGGCCGAGGUGACAGACGCAUCCCCGCCUUUGUGGUGCUCGGGAGCAGGUACCACCCAGUGUCACGCCUACAACCGCACAGGACUGGCCGGGGACCCCCUGUGGGUGCACAAAGAAGGCAUGAGAGUUACUGCCAGGGGGGCAGGGGGGAGGAAGAAGAGGGGUGUUGCUGGGUCAGGGCAGGCUUGGGCGAGAGCUGAGGUCUGUGCUGGGGUUCAGAGGGAUGAGUAGGAUCCCAACAGUGCUAUGGAGAAGGCAUGGGCUUUGACGCCUCCAGCCCCGGGAGACAAGCUACGUGACUUUGGACAAGUACUUUGCUUCCCGGAUUUCAUUUCCUCAGCUGUAAAAUGAGGGCACAGAUCUCGUCAUUUUUGAUCUGGUGAUAAAUAUGUUCGUACAGGUUGUGCACCAGCACCGUGCCCAGGACGGCCACUGACAGAAGCAGCCUCUCUGCCUUGUCCCUUCUCCCCGUGAGAAGCCAAACAAGGGGGUGGCUCCCGGGCAUCAAAGUGGCCUUAGAAUUUGGGGAGUUUAAAGGCGAUCCGCUCCCUGGCUGGAAUUUCUUCCUGCCACAUCAGUCAGAUGAGAUUCUUUCUUGCCGCCCAUAGAAACUGGACCUCUGGAGACAUUUCCCAUUAAUCCCGGGAAAGAAAGUCUCUUACCUUCAGCUCAGUCUGGCCUCGAAUGUCAAUUUUGUAGCCUUCAUCCAGGCUGACAGUGUCUGGACGGUGCUUCUGCUGCCGUGAAUUCUAUACGCUGAGCAGAAAGAUAAUAGUUGUUGCCACUUGGUGACAGCAUACCUAGGGUUUGGCAAAAAUCAUUAAGAGCCUGUACCAGCUCCAGUUGCAGCCAGUAAUGCACACAAUUUGGAUUCAUGCAAUAUCCUUUGCCUGGCCUUCUUGUCCCCCUAGUAGAUUGCUGGGCACUAAAUCAGAAGUCUCAAGGAAAAGCAAAUGACACAGACGGAGGGAUAAGAAGAACUUGAGAUGAAGUCAGAAUCCUAGGAACACCAUCUCUGCUUAUAGGGCAGUGUGUGACGGCUGAACCAGCACAGAUAGGCAUUCUGUUUCUUUUAAGGGCAGGACUCCCCACAAGGGCCCCACAUCUGGUUACGCAGGAGGAGUCCUGAGUGACAUGAGGGAACCCAAACCUGUGACGCCAGAGGCAGAAGCUAACUUUUUUUGGCUGCUCUAAUCAAGCCAUCAGGGUGGUUCCUGCCACCAGCAAGGACCUAAAAUGGCAUUUUUGAAAUCGAAAGGGGGUCUCCUCACUGUAAAGCUGGGGAAACCAAGACCUGGAGGAAGAGCAUUGUGUCCAAGUUCACUAAGCACUGGCGUUCCCGUCAUGGCACAGUGGUUAACAAAUCUUGACUAGGAACCAGGAGGUUGAGGGUUCAAUUCCUGGCCUCGCUCAGUGGGUUAAGGAUCCGGCGUUGCUGUGAGCUGUGGUGUAGGUCACAGAUGCANNNNNNNNNNNNNNNNNNNNNNNNNNNNNNNNNAAAAAAAAAAAAAAAAAAAAAGUCGCUAAGCACACAGACCCAGUCAGGGCAAGAACCCAGGUUUCCUGCCUCUCGCAUCAUUGUUUUCUCUGUAAUUCUCUCAUCCCAAAAACCCCAAAGUUAAAAGAAUCAGGGACAUAGUACCGUCUCCUUAUAGUUGUUUUACUGAUAACUAAGGUACGCUGCCACCAGGUGGUGAUUCGGUUACUAGGCACUGUUUCAAACAGCCAGGCUGCAGGAGGCAUUGAGGGAGCCCUUCCGGGGGCAGAAUAGAAAUACGAGACACUCACGCAGCCCUGUAGACUCCAUCCGAGAUGCGGUGUUGACAGUGUCCCCAAAGAGGCAGUACCGAGGCAUGGUGAGACCCACGACCCCUGCCACGCAGGGCCCUGAAACUCAAAUAUGCCCAGUGAGCUCCAGCAGGUCCUGGGCCCAAGAGAAGUCCCUACAACCGUCUGGUCAUUUCCACCCCCACCCCCCAAAUGUCUGUCUCUUCCCAACCUCUUGGGCUCCAGAGGAGGGGUGAGGAUGAAGCUGUAUGGAGUCUCCAACACCACCUAGAGAGGACAGGGCAUCUGUGCUAGGCUCCGGGCUGGGGGUAGGCGGGCGCAGAUCAAUCAGAGCCGGGCUCUGCUCUUAGGGAGCUCCCAGUCAGGUCUGGGGAGGCGGGUAAACUUUAAACAAUGAAGAGAGAAGGCCCCAGGGCUGUACCAGCCCAGGAAAGGAAACCUGACCCAGUCCGGAGGACUCGCUGGAGGGGGCGGUACAUAAACUGUGUCCUGAAGGAGGAAAGAAUGAUGCAGGGAACAGCAGGUGCAAAGGCACAGAGGCAGCGAGUCCACGUGCCUGUGGGAAAGGAGAGGAGUUCCCACCAUGGCUCAGCAGGAACGAAACUGACCAGUAUCCAUGAGGCUGCCGGUUCUAUCCCUGGCCUUGCUCAGUGGGUUAAGGAUCCGGUGUUGCCGUGAACCAUGGUAUAGGUCACAGACACACCUCAGAUCCCGCAUUGCUGUGGAUGUGGCGUAGGCUGGCAACUG